UACGUAGGGGGCAAGCGUUAUCCGGAAUUACUGGGCGUAAAGAGUGCGUAGGUGGCCACUCAAGCGCAGGGUUUAAGGCAACGGCCUAACCGUUGUCAGCCUUGCGAACUGGGUGGCUUGAGUACAGGAGAGGAAGGCGGAAUUCCUAGUGUAGCGGUGAAAUGCGUAGAUAUUAGGAGGAACACCGGUGGCGAAGGCGGCCUUCUGGACUGUCACUGACACUGAGGCACGAAAGCGUGGGUAGCAAACAGG
Molecule: ribosomal RNA, 252 nt
Filed under: uncultured microorganism
Description: partial small subunit ribosomal RNA
Rfam family: Bacterial small subunit ribosomal RNA
Source: RNAcentral